RNAcentral lists this unclassified non-coding RNA (336 nucleotides) under soil metagenome. RNAcentral describes it as "partial contains 5.8S ribosomal RNA, internal transcribed spacer 2, and large subunit ribosomal RNA". The stretch from base 1 to 120 matches the Rfam family "5.8S ribosomal RNA", at positions 35 to 154 of the family's 154-position model. The record is from RNAcentral.
GAUGAAGAACGUAGCGAAAUGCGAUAAGUAAUGUGAAUUGCAGAAUUCAGUGAAUCAUCGAAUCUUUGAACGCACAUUGCGCCCGCUAGUAUUCUAGCGGGCAUGCCUGUUCGAGCGUCAUUUCAACCAUCAAGCCCCAGGCUUGUGUUGGGGACCUGCGGCUGCCGCAGGCCCUGAAAACCAGUGGCGGGCUCGCUGUCACACCGGGCGUAGUAGAUUUUAUCUCGCUCAGGGCGUGCUGCGGGUUCCGGCCGUUAAAAAGCCUUUUUUACCCAAGGUUGACCUCGGAUCAGGUAGGAAGACCCGCUGAACUUAAGCAUAUCAAUAAGCGGAGGA